Molecule: transfer RNA, 85 nt
Filed under: Felis catus (domestic cat)
Lineage: Eukaryota; Metazoa; Chordata; Mammalia; Carnivora; Felidae
Also listed under: 3 other names
Rfam family: tRNA
About the family: Transfer RNA (tRNA) molecules are approximately 80 nucleotides in length. Their secondary structure includes four short double-helical elements and three loops (D, anti-codon, and T loops).
Source: Rfam by way of RNAcentral
GCCUGGGUGGCUCAGUUGGUUGAGUGUCUGACUUUGGCUCAGGUCAUGAUCUUGUGGUCCAUGGGUUCCAACCCCACAUCAGGCU